ACUAAGAUGGCAGAGCCCGGUAAUUGCAAAAGGCCUAAGCCCUUUCAACCGGAGGUUCAAAUCCUCCUCUUAGUU
RNAcentral lists this transfer RNA (75 nucleotides) under Astroblepus sp. NM-2010. Its description in RNAcentral is "tRNA-Leu (UUR)". It matches the Rfam family "tRNA". Rfam says of the family: Transfer RNA (tRNA) molecules are approximately 80 nucleotides in length. Lineage: Eukaryota; Metazoa; Chordata; Actinopteri; Siluriformes; Astroblepidae. The record is from RNAcentral.